This 254-nucleotide ribosomal RNA is filed under the name uncultured bacterium. RNAcentral describes it as "partial 16S ribosomal RNA". It matches the Rfam family "Bacterial small subunit ribosomal RNA", at positions 524 to 776 of the family's 1533-position model. The record is from RNAcentral.
UACGAAGGGGGCGAGCGUUGUUCGGAAUUACUGGGCGUAAAGGGCGCGUAGGCGGCCACCGCAAGUCGACUGUGAAAUCUCCGGGCUUAACCCGGAAAGGUCAGCCGAUACUGCGGGGCUAGAGUGCAGAAGGGGCAACUGGAAUUCUCGGUGUAGCGGUGAAAUGCGUAGAUAUCGAGAGGAACACCUGCGGCGAAGGCGGGUUGCUGGGCUGACACUGACGCUGAUGCGCGAAAGCUAGGGGAGCAAACGGG